Molecule: non-coding RNA, 950 nt
Organism: Cinara cedri
Lineage: Eukaryota; Metazoa; Arthropoda; Insecta; Hemiptera; Aphididae
Source: the annotation of a GenBank genome assembly
UUAGGUACUAUAUUUUGGGCACACAAACACCACGGCGGUUGCUCGUGUUUGAACAGGUGUUUGUAUUUGUUUAAAAUGUAAUUAAAUUAGACGUAGUCUGUAGGAAAAAAAAAAUCGUUUUAUCGCCAUCCUGCGAUAAUACGACGCCGCCAACGCCGAGCCGCGCCGCACCGUAGUGAAUUUUUAAUAACAACAAAAUGUAUUCCCGACCGGAUAGUGGACUAUAAAUAUAGUAGUCCGCGUGAAAUACGAAAUAAUAGUCGUAUUUUCGAGGGGGCGGAAAAAAUCCAUCGGAUAUACCUCCGUACCGAGGUUAGGUCACUGUUGUAGAUGGGUGUUAAUAGUGUAACCGCACAAACCCAAAACCGAAAAAGUACAAAAUUAUAUUUACGACGGAAUAUAGAAAUUUAAAUUUGAAAAUCUUUCCCGUCCGUUCACCGUGUUAAAAAUUUUAAUACUCAGCAAUUACACGUAUAGUCUCAUGCAACUUGUGACUUGCAGCACGUUGAAUUUCGGUUUCAGUUACUUACGUGUUUUAGCUUAAUCGACUAUCAAGCCACUAAAUCGACUGGUUAAGAUUCAGUAGCACUCGUGAGCGGCGUGAGAACACGAAUCGAGCACUAGUGGUUACAUGCCCACAGCAUUUACACUGUAGAGCAUUAGAAAAGUGGCAAAACGGCUUCACCCGUAACGGGUUGUUAACCAAUUGAAAACAUUUUCUUAUAUUAUAGUCGGCUGUUCUGUUGUUCCAUAUAUAAGUACCCCCGCGCACGCCCCCGUCAAUUUGUUUUGACUGAAGCAUUUUGAAGAUUUAAAGUCUUCCGGUGGAAACCGAGUUAACGGGCAGAAAAAAAAAACACGCGCACUCACAAGCACAUCACCUUAUAGUAAAACCGAUAGAUUUCUCUCGCUCUGCCAACGGAAUCUAAUACGGUAAUGUUUUUGUUUGU